AAUCAACGCUGGCGGCGUGCCUCAGACAUGCAAGUCGAACGAUUAAGACUCUCUUCGGAGAGUGUAUAAAGUGGCGCACGGGUGAGUAACACGUAGGUAAUGUACCGAAGGGUGGGGAAUAACUUAGGGAAACUUAAGCUAAUACCGCAUAAUGCAGCGGCUCGACAUCGAGACAGUUGUUAAAGGAGCAAUCCGCCUUUUGAGCAGCCUGCGGCAGAUUAGCUAGUUGGUAAGGUAAUGGCUUACCAAGGCUACGAUCUGUAACCGACCUGAGAGGGUGGUCGGUCACACUGACACUGAAUAACGGGUCAGACUCCUACGGGAGGCAGCAGUCGGGAAUUUUGGGGCAAUGGGCGAAAGCCUGACCCAGCAACGCCGCGUGAAGGAUGAAGUAUUCGGUAUGUAAACUUCGUAAGAAUGGGAAGAAUAAAUGACGGUACCAUUUAUAAGCUCCGGCUAACUACGUGCCAGCAGCCGCGGUAAU
Molecule: ribosomal RNA, 484 nt
Filed under: uncultured bacterium
Lineage: Bacteria
Description: bacterial SSU rRNA
Rfam family: Bacterial small subunit ribosomal RNA
Source: RNAcentral